CCUACGGGCGGCUGCAGUCGAGGAUCUUCGGCAAUGGGCGCAAGCCUGACCGAGCGACGCCGCGUGUGGGAUGAAGGCCUUCGGGUUGUAAACCGCUGUCAGUGGGGAGGAAGGCCCUGUGAAGAGCAGGGUUUGACCUAUCCGCAGAGGAAGUGUGGGCUAAGUUCGUGCCAGCAGCCGCGGUAAGACGAACCACACAAACGUUAUUCGGAAUUACUGGGCUGAAUGGGUUGUUCAGAUGUGUAGAAGUGAAAUCCCCCGGCUCAACCGGGGAAUUGCGCUUAAAACUACUGUGCUAGAGGAAUACAGAGGUAAGCGGAACUUCGGGUGGAGCGGUGAAAUGCGUUGAUAUCCGAAGGAACACCGGUGGCGAAAGCGGCUUACUGGGUAUUUUCUGACGCUGAUGCACGAAAGCUAGGGGAGCAAACGGGAUUAGAUACCCCAGUAGUC
RNAcentral lists this ribosomal RNA (450 nucleotides) under uncultured bacterium. RNAcentral's name for it is "partial 16S ribosomal RNA". It matches the Rfam family "Bacterial small subunit ribosomal RNA", at positions 338 to 795 of the family's 1533-position model. The record is from RNAcentral.